RNAcentral lists this long non-coding RNA (890 nucleotides) under Daucus carota (carrot). RNAcentral describes it as "long non-coding RNA (DCAR_LNC004398)". Lineage: Eukaryota; Viridiplantae; Streptophyta; Magnoliopsida; Apiales; Apiaceae. The record is from RNAcentral.
AAGCAGAGAUCAUUUUGGAGAUUUUUCGUGUGGCGCAACCAUACAAGGGCUCAUACUUCUCCAUAAACCAAGCUUAACACAUGUCUGGUUUAAACUACAAUAGUGAAAGCCUCCUUGAUGGCCUGCAAGAAGUCAUAUACGGAUCAGCAUGCAGAAACCUAUGGCCAACAGUUGAUCGCUGUAUAUCAGAAAUAUGAAUCAAUGCCUAUUUCUGAAUAGUUAACUGGUUCUUAGGGUAGUCAAAACUAUUGCCACAAAAAAUGUUGCACAGUGCUAAAGUUAUUUGUAAAUAUACUAUGUUUUUGCUGCCAUGCAUUAAUCAUAGAGGGUCAAACUUGGUCCUGUCAGUUCUGCAUGCGCAGCAAGUAUGCUUAGAAAAUUCAGACUGCACCUGUUUCAAUAGCAUUAGCGAGAUAACAAGGCAGCACAGAAUACACAUGAAACAGAAAACUGCUUUUAACACCUGAAACACAAGGUGCCAAUAAGCAGCAUUGAAAAUUGGUACACAACCUUAAUAUCGCUUCUUGUGUAAUUCUACAAACAGAUAACUGGAAAUUGAUCCAGGGAGAACAAAUUAGACCAGUCAGAGCUAACGCUAUAAACAACAGAAGCAUUUUUUUAUGCACAAGCAACUGCUUACCGUACAUAUCUAGCAGCAUUCAAGAAUAUAAAACACUUUAUAGGUAUUUUUGUCAAUCAACUGCAUAGAAUGUUUACCUAACUCAGUCUCUUCACCAUGUCCUCAUCCCAACCAUAGCAAAUGUACUUAGCCUGCAGAGACAAUAUUUGUUACAAGUAAAAUCUACAAUGCCAAGAGAAGGAAUCAGUUCACACUUCACCUGAAGGCAUUUCAUACUAUGCCAGGAAGCAAUGUCCAGAUUUAAUCAUAC